RNAcentral lists this ribosomal RNA (497 nucleotides) under uncultured bacterium. RNAcentral describes it as "partial 16S ribosomal RNA". It matches the Rfam family "Bacterial small subunit ribosomal RNA", at positions 28 to 507 of the family's 1533-position model. The record is from RNAcentral.
GAUGAACGCUGGCGGCGUGCCUAAUACAUGCAAGUCGAGCGAACGGACGAGAAGCUUGCUUCUCUGAUGUUAGCGGCGGACGGGUGAGUAACACGUGGAUAACCUACCUAUAAGACUGGGGUAACUUCGGGAAACCGGAGCUAAUACCGGAUAAUAUUUUGAACCGCAUUGUUCAAAAGUGAAAGACGGUCUUGCUGUCACUUAUAGAUGGAUACGCGCUGCAUUAGCUAGUUGGUAAGGUAACGGCUUACCAACGCAACGAUGCAUAGCCGACCUGAGAGGGUGAUCGGCCACACUGGAACUGAGACACGGUCCAGACUCCUACGGGAGGCAGCAGUAGAGACUCUUCCGCAAUGGGCGAAAGCCUGACAGAGCAACGCCGCGUGAGUGAUGAAGGUCUUCGGAUCGUAAAACUCUGUUAUUAGGGGAGAACAUAUGUGUAAGUAACUGUGCUCAUCUUGACGGUACCUAAUCAGAAAGCCACGGCUAACUACGUG